Molecule: long non-coding RNA, 1640 nt
Filed under: Lactuca sativa (garden lettuce)
Lineage: Eukaryota; Viridiplantae; Streptophyta; Magnoliopsida; Asterales; Asteraceae
Description: long non-coding RNA (LSAT_LNC006618)
Source: RNAcentral
UUCAUCAAAUGUGGAAAGUUGUGAUGUCUUGGAUAAGACAAAGACCAACUAGGACCAAUUUAUGAAGUGUUUUGAUAAGAAUUACACUAACUCUUGAAUAUUUGUUUGUCAAGAAAUGUUUAUUGACAAGAGAAUCCUAUAUGUCAAGGAGUCAGUGGGAGUCUUAAUGGUCUUGAAAGGUUUCAAGAACAAAUCAAAUAAACCUUAUCGAUCAUCACUAGCACACGAGUUGAGGUUUACAACCUAUCGUGUUGACAUUAUUUUGUUUCUGUGCCAAUCCAAUCGAGUUAAUUAUGCAUGUGAGUCCUAUGAGUUCUCAUUUGAAUGCAUAAAAGGCAAGGACCUUGAUCAAUGGAAAGUACAUUGAUAGGAAAAGGUGAGCUGCUUAACUACUUGGAAGACGUGGUGGGCAGCUGUGCUACCAUAAGGCAAGAAAUCAAGACUAAGAAAGUUCGAUCCAUAUGAGUUUGAAUUUGUCGUAAACUUUGGUUUUGACAAAUUCACAUGGAUAGGAACAAAUACACCAUUUAAAUCUAAGUGUCAUAAGAUUUCCUCCUUCAUGAAAAUGAUUGUGAGGAAAUGCUUUCACUAAGAAAGAUUUUAAGAAGAUAGUGAUUGUAAAAUUGCAUUCUCGAAUUCAAUUAUGGUUACGGUAUCCCUUUCCAUGAUUUGAAUUGUGAGGUUUGGCAAUUAGUCUUAAUCGUUUAGACACACAUAUGAACUAUCUAAGGCAAAGGUGUAUAAGUUAAAAAAAAAGCCUUGAUAAAAGGUUAUCAAAGCAUUAAGUAUUAGAAACAUGGACUUAAGAAAUUCAAUAGGUUAUUGUUUUUUCUAAAAAGUUAAAAUGUUUAUGAAUACAUGUCGAAGCUGGUGGGAACAUAAGUGUUAUGUUUAUAUUAAUCAUCAUGAUAGUGGGAGCAUAAAUGUUAUGAUUGAAUGAUUAUUAAGGAAAGUAUUGCAAGGUUAGCAAUAUUAAUUAUAGAAAACAAGAGUCAUACUUUGCAAAGUUGUCAGAGUUGAAAGGUUGUUUUGCUAAAAUUAAGGGAGAAUAAAACAUUAUGCGUCGUGUCCCAUACGCUUCGGGUAUAGGAUCAAUUGCAAAUGCUUUAAUGUUUCACCAUUCUAAGAUUUUCCAAAUGUCAAGCGCAUUUAGAGGGAAAAGGGACUAGAAUUGGUUUUGACUAAAAUAAUUAAACAACUAUCAAAGGACAAUCCAAAGUUUGACGAGGAUUGGUCGCUUGUGAGUAGUUGGAAGCAUGGUAUUGGAUGGACCAUAUCGACAUUAUUAUGAAUAGAAAAGAUUCUAUUAAGAAUGAGUUGUCAUAUGGAAAUUAUGGAAAUGUUUCCAUAUUGGAUGGACCAUAUCGACAUCAUUACGAAUAGAUAAGAUUCUAUUAAGAAUGAGUUGUCAUAUGGAAAAUAUGGAAGCGUGUCCAUAUUGGGAAUUGAAUAUUGAAAAUCUAUGUCUAGAUUAGAAACUUUUAUGCAAAAGGAUGUUCAAAGAAUGUACUUUGAGUGAGAGACAUCACGUCUAUGGAAUUGUCUUGUAACAAUCUCCGAUAGAGGACUUUGUAAUAUCAUUGGCAAUAGUCUUUGUGACUUUGGUGCAGUGACAUUACGAAAGGAUCGUUGCAUAGAAU